UUCAGGUGUCAUAUGGUGAAAUGGUAGGGUGUGAUAAUCAAGAUUGCCCCAUUGAGUGGUUCCAUUAUGGAUGUGUUGGACUGACAGAAGCUCCAAAAGGAAAAUGGUACUGUCCACAAUGCACAGCAGCCAUGAAAAGGCGUGGCAGUCGCCACAAAUGAACCCCAAAAGCAGAGGAAUUAGUUUGACUGGUGCUUUGUCCAAACAUCCUAACUUUAAAUAGAACAUCGAAUGAAAGCAACAUCAACUGCAAUAAGUGACAUUUUGCAGUGCACUUAUUUAUGUUCCUAUUUGAGAAUGUAAGGCUUAUUGAUGAAACUUGGAUUUUGCAUUUUUUUUUGUGUAAAACACCAGAUGACUAUCUAUCUUUAUUCAAAUAUUCUCAUAAUAAACGAUCUAACUGAAGCAAAAAAAUACCAAAUAUAUAAUCAAUAUUUGUUUAAAGAUGCUUUACUUUUGUGUUUAAUUAUUACUUCUGUGAAACUUAAAAGUUCAGCUGGCUGAAGUAAAAUGCAAUAUUGGCAAUAAAUCUUGUAGAGCUGGCAAAGGUAGUGUCCUAAUACAUGAACAACAUUUCUAUAUCAUUUGAAUGCCAGUUUGCCAUUAGUGUUCAAUGUUUUGGUGCAGCACGUUUGAUAUAAAUGAUAUAAGAAUAAAGUUAUCAGUAUGUCUUUGAUACUAAUUGAAAAACAUUAUGACUUGUGUAUGUGGAAAAUGCGUUUUUUUUUUCAUUUGUAUUAGAUAUGACAUUAGUGUUUAACCAGUAAAAGUCUUAUGAUCGGUGAAGUGUGAUUUCAUUAUUUUUGUGCCUGAAAUGCAGUUUGGACUACAGUUGCAGUUUAAUCCAACUGUUUACUGGUGUAAACCUUUUUGUUUUUGCUUAUGCAUCUCUAUUGUAAAGUAAUUGUGCAGAGGAAAAAUUGCAGCCUGCACAACAGUGACUGGACCUCAAAAAUAUUUAAUUAACUAUAAAGUGCUCUGGGAUGUCCUAAGGUCAUGUAUGAUAUUAUACAAAUAUAAGUCUUUUUUAUA
Molecule: long non-coding RNA, 1032 nt
Organism: Rhincodon typus (whale shark)
Lineage: Eukaryota; Metazoa; Chordata; Chondrichthyes; Orectolobiformes; Rhincodontidae
Exons: 2
Source: RefSeq, a predicted model, not a curated record